UGAGUUGAAUGUCAUCUCACAAUACAAAAAGUAACCAGUCUUAUGGACUCUAAAGUUUUAUUCAUUUAAAGCUGUCUUACAGACAAAGCGGCCGGUCAUAGGUGGACCACCAUUUAAUGCUCAGGAGAAACGCUUGUAGUCAGGAGGGGAAAAUGUUGUGACGUUGCCUAAAUCUCGUGUCUGGUGGCACCAAAAUUGAGCCCUGAUUGCCGACGUCCCCACAAAGUCUGUCGUGUUGUUGCAGAUUGAUCGAUAGCUUUAAUCUCUGGAUCUUGUUUCUGUUGGAAGAGGUUUUUUCUUUUCUUUUUUUAUGAUGUUUUGUACUGUACCUGAUGAUAAAAGAAGAAUAAUCACUUUAGCUGAUUUAUUUUUGUAUAAAUUAAGGCAAUAGGAUUACAGUCUGAUCACUGUAGAUUCUUUAUCUGUCUGUCUCGGGGCGAUUGUAGAUGGAAGGUCACCGGAUGCGGUUUCCUUUUUGUCAUGACUCUGGGACAUUAUGUUCAUUCAAGCGGGUAUUUCUUUAAAAGCUAAAGACUUUUGUGACAUCAAGGAAAUGUGACGUUUCUCACGUGAGAUGUCCAAAGAAAAGUACUUGAAGCACUACAAGUUUUUUUUUUUUUUUUUUUAGUUUUUUUUUUUUAUUUGGCCGACCUGUAAAUUAUUUUUAUUUUUAGAGGUUUUUAUUUUUGUGCUCGCUGUGAAAGACCAGGCCUUUUUUGGAUUGACUUGGGAAAGACUUUUUAAAUCAACACACAACUGUUCAAAUGUGUUUCUUUUAAGCUAGUUAAUUCAGUUGAGGAUGCAGUGAGUUAUUUUCAAUUAUUGUAGGUCUUCUCUCCUGUGAUGCAGGAGGAUACAGAUUUGUUUAUUUAAAGAGAAUCUGGGAACCACACGGUUUGCAGACUGUUUUGUGUAGGUGGUCAUUGAUGACUAUUGAACAUGGAGAGGAUACUUUAAAUAAUGAAUUCUGCUAUUUCUCUGCUACAUUUGGCUUCAUUCACACACUGCUGAUUUUCUCCUUUGGCGCCGACAGUUUUGAUUAGAGCACAGCUUGCCAGUCCAUUAAAAUUAUGUUUAGAUGACAGAUUAAGCCAUUGAAUUAGGCCUUGAAGCAUUUUGGUCAUUAUGAAAGUUAAUGGUUCGCUCCCACCUUUUUUAGAGAUAUGAAAUCCCAUCAGUAGGAUGCCGCCCAAACAACCAGCCAUCUUCAUUUGAUGGUUCUAAGCUUGAUUGUCACUUUUUUCAAAUCUUUUCUUUUUGGGUAAAAAAAAUGUAUUUAAUAUCUGAUGCAAGUUUGUGUGCGGGUGAUUUGCCUCAUGUUAUAUAUGCAUGAACCUGUGUAACGUGGCACCGGGGUUGUCCACGAACCAGCCAAUCAACGAGGAUAGCUGUCCACUCAAAAUACAGGGUGAGCAAUCUCAUAUUGUCCCAUCAUUAAAAGGAAGCACUCACUUUUAUUCAAUAACCAUUCUUCUUACAAUCUGUUGAGAAACAUUUUGAAAAAAUACAGAAAUUUGUAUAAAAAUGAUGCACCAGAAUUUUUGUGAAAGCCGUUAUGAGGUUUCUUUUAUUUAAUUCCCUGUUCUGCAGGUCCAGCAGAGGUGCUCUGUCUGUUCUAGAGCAUUACUGCAAAACGGUCAAUGUCUUUCAUAUUAUCUUCAUAGCUAUUGUUUGAGGCUAAUCCAUGAAAAGAUGUUCAGAAGAACCAUAAUGCCUUUCUUAUAGCCUAAAGAUGGAAGAUAAUCAAGUAGGUUUCUUGGACUUUCUGGUCUGCCAGACAGGAGACUGCUCAGGGGAAUUUACCGCUGCUCUGUGAUCAAAAUCUCUACCUUUAAAAACAAAACAAAAAAAACACAGCUUUUCAGGAUUUUUAUUAAAAACUGCCUUUACAAGUAGAUCUACACUUUUUGAAAGUAGCUAUGUUUUUUUUGAACGUCAGAAAAACUUGCUUUCAACACAUCAUUAUGAGGUUUUUCCCACUUGAAGCAGCAUUAUAUACAUGUGACCCGGGAGUUAGAACAAAAAUGCACUUUUUUAUUUUUGUGAAUUUCAUUUUGUAUUUUUAUUUUUUAUUUUUUUCAAGGGGUUCUUGAAAAAGGAUUGGGAGUUUGGGGGGGGGGGGGCAUAAAUAAAAAAUGGUUCAUUGUACAACUAUGUUUAUCUUUGUCAAAUGGAAUAUAGAACCAUUUAGAUGAAAAGUAAUAAAGAAUUUCAAACCUCAAUUGAAAUAAAGAUUCAUCUUUAUUUAUAGUUCAUAUUUGUGUUGUAAAUUUAAAAUAAACCCAUGGAAACUUGCCCAUGUUGCCCAAAAGCAUGUGACAACAUUGCUAGGAUUAUAUUAGGCCUAUUGCAUCACCAAAUUCCUUCCAUGCUUUCAAAUGAACAAUAUUUUCUAAUCCC
Long non-coding RNA from Gasterosteus aculeatus aculeatus (three-spined stickleback), 2400 nucleotides. Lineage: Eukaryota; Metazoa; Chordata; Actinopteri; Perciformes; Gasterosteidae. The record is from Ensembl.